This 497-nucleotide ribosomal RNA is filed under the name uncultured bacterium. RNAcentral's name for it is "partial 16S ribosomal RNA". It matches the Rfam family "Bacterial small subunit ribosomal RNA", at positions 28 to 507 of the family's 1533-position model. The record is from RNAcentral.
GACGAACGCUGGCGGCGUGCCUAAUACAUGCAAGUUGAGCGCUGAAGGUUGGUACUUGUACCGACUGGAUGAGCAGCGAACGGGUGAGUAACGCGUGGGGAAUCUGCCUUUGAGCGGGGGACAACAUUUGGAAACGAAUGCUAAUACCGCAUAAAAACUUUAAACACAAGUUUUAAGUUUGAAAGAGGCAAUUGCAUCACUCAAAGAUGAUCCCGCGUUGUAUUUGCUAGUUGGUGAGGUAAAGGCUCACCAAGGCGAUGAUACAUAGCCGACCUGAGAGGGUGAUCAGCCAACUUGGGACUGAGACACCGCCCAAACUUCUACGGGAGGCAGCAGUAGGGAAUCUUCGGCCAUGGGCGAAAGUCUGACCGAGCCACGCCGCGUGAGUGAAGAAAGUUCUCGGAUCGUAAAACUCUGUUGGUAGAGAAGAACGUUGGUGAGAGUGGAAAGCUCAUCAAGUGACGGUAACUACACAGAAAGCGACGGCUAACUACGUG